UGGCUCAAUUGGUAGAGCGUGGUGUUUGCAACACCAGGGUUGUGGGUUCAAAUCCCAC
This 58-nucleotide transfer RNA is filed under the name Salmo salar (Atlantic salmon). It matches the Rfam family "tRNA", at positions 8 to 63 of the family's 71-position model. From Rfam's summary of the family: Transfer RNA (tRNA) molecules are approximately 80 nucleotides in length. Their secondary structure includes four short double-helical elements and three loops (D, anti-codon, and T loops). Further hydrogen bonds mediate the characteristic L-shaped molecular structure. tRNAs have two regions of fundamental functional importance: the anti-codon, which is responsible for specific mRNA codon recognition, and the 3' end, to which the tRNAs corresponding amino acid is attached (by aminoacyl-tRNA synthetases). tRNAs cope with the degeneracy of the genetic code in two manners: having more than one tRNA (with a specific anti-codon) for a particular amino acid; and 'wobble' base-pairing, i.e. permitting non-standard base-pairing at the 3rd anti-codon position. The record is from Rfam by way of RNAcentral. Lineage: Eukaryota; Metazoa; Chordata; Actinopteri; Salmoniformes; Salmonidae.